UGAAUGACUCAAAUGAAGUUUACAUGCUAAACAUUCUUCUCCCACAUGUUUCAUAUAUCCAAUAUUCAUCUCUUUGAAUGAGUAUCCAGUUGAACUUUAAAAGAAAAAUUGUUCCAGAUGGACUUAAAUAGGCAAGAAAUACUUUUAUAUAAAAUUAUUGCAAUAGGAGUCAAGACCAUUGCAAUAAGGAUGAGAUUUUGAACUCAACUCUGCUGAGACAAAAGACAGGAGAGUUAAGUGCUGGGAUGAAAUGAUGCAAAAGUACUGGAGGGCAGGCCAUGAGGGAAGAGGUUGUCUGAUUAUGCCAUUGAUGGUUGCUAAUUGGUACUUAUAGAAUCAAAGUAGGCUCCUUCCUUCCCACAGAGACAGGAAGAUAUGGGUGCUAUUAUUCUUGAUGAUUUCAUGUCAAGGGGGUGGCUCUCAGGUCUUUGAAAAAGAUUCCAGGAUUUUAAAACUGGCCAGAGCUGAAGGAAUAUUUGCAUCUCAAAAGAGUCAGAGAACUAACUUACAAUUGCAAGUUUCUUAAAAUAAAUGCUCUAAGAAAAGGAGUCCAGGGACCUAGAGUCAGGAAGAAGCCUGAAGUUUAAUCAGGCUGAGGGAAAUGGUAAGGCCAUCUGGAUAAACAGAGAUGGUUCUCCUUUUCUCUCACUCUAUUAUAACUUCUAUCUCCCCACAACUGUUACAGGAUAACCAAGAAACCAAGUUAUAGGAA
Pipistrellus kuhlii (Kuhl's pipistrelle) is the source of this 712-nucleotide long non-coding RNA. RefSeq lists it as uncharacterized. NCBI's taxonomy places the organism in Eukaryota, Metazoa, Chordata, Mammalia, Chiroptera, Vespertilionidae. The transcript has 2 exons. The record is from RefSeq and is a predicted model, not a curated record.